This is a long non-coding RNA of Diospyros lotus (date-plum), 314 nucleotides long. RefSeq lists it as uncharacterized. The record is from RefSeq and is a predicted model, not a curated record. Lineage: Eukaryota; Viridiplantae; Streptophyta; Magnoliopsida; Ericales; Ebenaceae. The transcript is spliced from 3 exons.
CAACUCCAUAGACUUUGUCACGAUGAUCUCUCGCACCACAUCAUGCACCCUGCAGGUUUUAACUCUCCCAUCAGAUUUCUUACUUGACACUUGAACCAAGCUUCUAUGGAUGAGCUCGGACAGGUACUCUUCUGCAACUUCUUCUAAAGUUUUGCCCCUCUGUUCUUCAAUGAAGCCCUCUGCUAUCCACAACCGGAUCAAUCUUCCACAAUUAAUAGAGUAAUCCUCAGGUAUUAUGCCAAAGUACAAGAAACAGGAUCUGAGGUAGUAGGGCAAAUCAUGGUAACUAAGCAACACAAUUUUUGAGAUGCUUG